Molecule: ribosomal RNA, 402 nt
Filed under: uncultured bacterium
Lineage: Bacteria
Description: bacterial SSU rRNA
Rfam family: Bacterial small subunit ribosomal RNA
Source: RNAcentral
UGGGGAAUAUUGGACAAUGGGCGCAAGCCUGAUCCAGCCAUGCCGCGUGAGUGAUGAAGGCCUUAGGGUUGUAAAGCUCUUUCGCCGGUGAAGAUAAUGACGGUAACCGGAGAAGAAGCCCCGGCUAACUUCGUGCCAGCAGCCGCGGUAAUACGAAGGGGGCUAGCGUUGCUCGGAAUUACUGGGCGUAAAGCGCACGUAGGCGGUUUCUUAAGUCGGGGGUGAAAUCCUGGAGCUCAACUCCAGAACUGCCUUCGAUACUGGGAAACUUGAGUUCGGGAGAGGUGAGUGGAACUGCGAGUGUAGAGGUGAAAUUCGUAGAUAUUCGCAAGAACACCAGUGGCGAAGGCGGCUCACUGGCCCGAUACUGACGCUGAGGUGCGGAAGCGUGGGGAGCAAACA